AAUCUUGGACAAUGGGGGAAACCCUGAUCUAGCCAUCCCGCGUGUAUGAUGAAGGCCAUCGGGAUGUAAAGUACUUUUGGCAGAGAAGAAAAGGUACCUCCUAAUACGAGGUACUGCUGACGGUAUCGGAAGAAUAAGCACCGGCUAACUACGUGACAGAAGCCGGGGUAAUACGGUGGGUGCAAGCGUUAAUCGGAAUUACUGGGCUAAAAGCGUGUUUAGGCGGUUCGGAAAGAAACAUGUGACAUCCCAGGGCUCAACCUUGGAACUGCAUUUUUAACUGCCGAGCUAGAGUAUGUCAGAGGGAGGUAGAAUUCCACGUGUAGCAGUGAAAUGCGUAGAUAUGUGGAGGAAUACCGAUGGCGAAGGCAGCCCCCUGGGAUAAUACUGACGCUCAGACACGAAAGCGUGGGGAGCAAACAG
Molecule: ribosomal RNA, 423 nt
Filed under: uncultured bacterium
Lineage: Bacteria
Description: partial 16S ribosomal RNA
Rfam family: Bacterial small subunit ribosomal RNA
Source: RNAcentral